Non-coding RNA from Aegilops tauschii subsp. strangulata, 983 nucleotides. The record is from RefSeq and is a predicted model, not a curated record. NCBI's taxonomy places the organism in Eukaryota, Viridiplantae, Streptophyta, Magnoliopsida, Poales, Poaceae.
CUGCUCUGCACAAGUGCAACAUGGCUGGAAAGCCUGCUGUUGUUACUCAUGUUGUGGACAGUAUGACGGACAACCUAAGGCCUGCUCGUGCGGAGGCAACUGAUGUGGCAAACGCGGUGCUGGACGGUUAGUUUUUGCCUCUUGCAGAUAUCUUAUACUUUGGUGAUCCUGUAAGUUUUUGCCUCUUGCAGAAUCCAAUGAAAGUUCUGAUUCCGAAAGCUCUGACUCUGAGAAGCCAGCUACUGAAGUGAAGAAUUCUGCGGGUUGCUACUGCACAAAAGAAAAACCAGGAAUUGGACGGCUCUGACAGUGAUUCUGAUGAUUCAUCAGAUGAGGAUAUGGCCACUAAAAAAUCAGUAGCCAAGAAAGUGGUAGAAUCCAGUGAAAGUUCUGAUUCUGACUCCGAGGAGGAUACCACUGCUAAACCAGUUAAGAAGAAUAAAGAAUCUAGUGAUAGCUCAGAUCCUGACUCAGAUUCAGAUUCUGAAGAAGCAAGUUCUCUGUUGUACUUGUUUACUCUUGGAUACCACUGCUAAAACAGUUUCUGUAAAGAAAGAAGAAUCUAGUGGUAGCUCAGAUAAUGACUCGGAUUCCGAUUCUGAUGAACCAGCAAAAUCUACUAUUCCUGCUAAGAGGCUUCUGACAACAGAGAAAAAGAGUGAACAUUCCAAGGAUGAUUCUGAUGAUAGUUCUGAUGAGAGUGAUGAAGAGCCUGCACUAAAGAAGCCUAAGGAAUUUUUGGUGUUUGCUUUUUCAUCUGAAGAUUUUGGUCUCUAAGGUUGCCAAGAAAGAAAGCAGUGGUGAUGAUGACAGUUCUGAAGAGAGCUCCAGCAGUGAUGAUGAAAACGAUCAAUCGGUGUCAAUGUGAAAGUCCAAGCAGAACGAAGAACGAAGAUCUGAAUCACCCUCGCCCCUCUAGAGAAAUCAGUUUACUCAUUCAAGUUCUGGAAAUUCUUUAUAGCUUUCUGAGUUUACUUCGGUCU